Molecule: long non-coding RNA, 6814 nt
Organism: Columba livia (rock pigeon)
Lineage: Eukaryota; Metazoa; Chordata; Aves; Columbiformes; Columbidae
Exons: 2
Source: RefSeq, a predicted model, not a curated record
GCCAGCUCGGCCCGCAGCGCCGUCACCUCCUGCCCCGCCGCCUGCAGCGCCCCGUCGAUGCGCAGCGCCAGCUGCUUGUUGUCGUCCAUCAUGUGCAGGAUUUUGGCCUGGGGGAGGGAGGAAGAGGAGGAGAGAGAGAACUGCCCAGACGAGUCUGGGAGAGGCUUGACAUGAGCUAAAGCAGAAUCGCAUCAGUGUCCCGUGCGGCGAUGGUCCCCAGGGAGCGCUGGGAUGUGGCUCUGCAGAGGCAGAGGGGUUUGGGAUGCAGCACCCCUAGGCAGCGUUCAGGAACAGAAAUCAGGUAAGUGUCAUGUUCGUCCACUGAAAAACAACAUUAAGAUGGGCCUGGGUCCCCCAAAACCUCAGACCUGAUCUGAAUUGUGCAUAAAGCCAGCUCUCCAAGAGCCAAAAGGAUCAAGCCCAUGUCGAGUAUCAUCUAGACCUUGUGAUCUGUAAAAGGAUUUUGUAAAACAAAGAAAAUCUAGUGUUCAGAUAAAUGGUGCAGUGGCUUCUUCAUGGGAAAGUUAUUUUUAACUGAGUUUCCAGCGGUGUUUGCAACCGAACCAGCUGCGCUAGGCCAGGGUGCUUGGAAUAUGGGUGGAAUGGGCUCUUUUCCUUAAUGAAUUCCCAAAGGGCAGCCAAACAACCCACAAGGAGAAUAAAUGCCAUUUUUCAAAUUCUUUCUUCGUCAUCUAUGCAACCCUCCCUGCACAAGAUACAAUUCUUUAAGUAUAUAUAGAAACUGAAUUCUAAUCAAGAUAAAUGCCCGGUGUCACGCCUGAUUUGCAUGAGUAUUUGCUGCAAACUGUGCCUGUAAAUGAAGAGAAUUAUGUAUGUAACCGGAUAACCUGAAUGUGCAAUUGCGGCAGCAUAUAUGCAAAACUUAGUCAUUGCACUUGAAUAAAACGUAAGCUGCAGCAGAAAGGAACUCGGCUCUGAAGUGCAGGCACAUUAUUUUUAUCAUUAAAAAAAUCAGGUUAAAACUGAUUUGAGCCUUCCAAGAACACAUUCAGCUGCUGAAGCAAAGUCCAAAUUAUGGUUCUUGCUCAAUCUAACCUUAAUAAUAGACUAGUUGAGUUGCUGUACCGGCAGCACUGGAAUCUUUAAUUUACCGAUGCAAGAGAAUUUCUACAUUAGCAAGUGUGCUAUUUAAAAAAUAUAUUUCUUAAAGUUGGCUGUGGACUCAUCUGUAAAUUAAUAACCUCGCUUUAAAAAGUCUUCCUUAUUACUUCAGGUCCUUUUGAGAUUCCCAUGAAGAUAUCUUGAAAGGUUUCCUUGCCCAUACCACCUCCCGUCCUUACCAGGGAAGAGCUGGGUCCAUUUAAAAUUGAUUUGGACCUCUCGAAGCAGGAUUUGAUUUCUCGGAGCUUCCGCCUGGGAGAGCGCGACCCCGAGACAUCAGCCGAAGGAGCUCGUGCCCGGCUAUAGCGAGGGAUUUCCAGCGUUGGGGUGGCUGGGGCUCUGCUGGCCACACGCAAUGAAAUUGAAUUAAUAUGAUGGGGUGUCCCCCCUGUGCAGCGAUGCUGACCCCCCAGCCCACCCCCUGUCUCACGUGCACAUCCCUACAUGCUCCUGACCCAAAAUCUCCCUGGUUCUGAGAUAAGGGUGACGCACAAAGCCACAGAAAGGACCCGAUUGUUGCUCCAGCAGCAAAAUGCCUACAAGAAAGGAAUAAAAAUAUCAACCAGGUCUGUAUUCAAAAGGUGAUACCUGAGGAUUAUUUUGGGUUGUGCUGAUUCCUAAGGCCAAGCCUUUGCUGAAAUCCUCAACGCUGGGGUGAAACGAAGCGUUAGGAAAUGAAUUGGGCCUCUUUCCCUUCCUCAGCUUAGUUUUGAAUGAACAAAACAAAUUAAAUUAAAUCUAAUUAAAUAGCCAAAAUUAGAAACAUGUUAUUUCCCCAAAUUGCUUUUCUUCUGGUUUUUUUUUUAGUUCCAGUUUUCCCAGGAGUUUGCCAGCUCUGCAGCAAAUGUGUCCCCAAGGGACGGGCGUCCCCAGCCGCACCACGAGGCGCAGAGGGCUCGGGGAUCCCUCCUAAGGACACUCGGGGAUCCCUCCUAAGGACACACGGGGAACCCGACUCAACGCCAACAAGUCUCCAUUCCACAUCUUUCCAGGCGGUGCAAGGGUAGCCUUGAAAACCUGAAACAAACCCUUCAUUUUGGGCAAUAUGUUCUAGUAGUAGCGUCACAUCCUGGCAGGGUAUUUCUCCAGAACGUAUAGAUGGCAUAAAUGCAGAUGGAGGAAGAUUUGAGAAUACUACCCGUUUGCUCCCUUUUCAGCCUAAGGAAUGCAGAAAAGAGAAUACGAGAAGGUUUAGGAGGUGAAAAAGCAGCACGUGGUUACUGUUCAGCCCUUCCAAACACUUCAAUUUGCUAUUCAGAUUACCACUUUUUAUAGUUUAAUAUGUACAGUAUACAAAGGAACCAGUUGAACAUAAUGGGGAAAAAGCCUUUUGUGUUAAGGUUGAACGUAAUCUAAUACAGCCCUUUGACUUGAUUCAAUUAAAUCCUUUCUUUUCCAAUUAAAUAAUCAGCCAGAAUUUAAUCAAAAUGAAUUUCAGUGUGUCACGGUGCAGAAUGAUGACCUCUGAGAUGGUGAAGGCUUGUGUAAAUUCUGCUGAUCGCUUUUAUCUGCUUGUGCCUCACUUCCACCAAAAAAAUAUCGCCUUCUGUCUGUGUAUUUACAUUAUUUUCUCAUCUCCUCCAUGUGUCUCUGUUUGCAGUAACAAUUCCCAGCUGAAAGGGCUGCAAGCAUCACUGCAUCUUCUAAAAUACCCCUUCUGUGACUGGAUAAAGAGAUGCCCAAGGAUGGGAUUUCUGCUCCGCACCUCUAUUCUGCUGUGCCCUGGCACGCUGCGGCGCCAACAGCCGCACUUUGGCCCUUGCCAAACGCCACCAGAGGCAUCUGUGCGGCCAUUCAUCAGCGAAGAAAAGCGCACCGAGAAAAUCCCAUCCAAAAGACCAGCAAACUCCAGCGGCCACCGCCAGAAAAAGCGCAGCCUGCCCCGAGUUCAAUGGUCUCUUGUAGCGCAUCUCCGCUAAGUCAUUUCCAUCCCACUUACAAUCCUUGCUGAUGUCUAUCGCUUUUGUUUUGCAUCUACAAAGGUCACAUUUUUAUUUGUGCAUUUAUAAUGGCGUUUGGUCCUUCUCGCUCUUAAAAUACUGAGCGCCAAUUCUUUCCUUCCUCAGUUGGAGCAUCUUAACGCAAACCUCGCUAAUGCAUUAGUGCUGCGCUGUAGCUGGAAUGCUAAUGCUUUAGUUAAUAGGUUAUUAAACGAGGCUAAGGAUGCACAGGUUAAAAAUUUGGGUGAAUAUUGGCUUGUCCCUGCGAUGUUGCGGUGACGUGUUUCCCCGGCUCCAUUUCCCGGUGACCUUCUUGCGCUGCGCAUCCCUCGGGACGGCGAAAACAAACCCAUUAAUGUUUAUAAAGUGUCUCGGACUGGGGGAAUUGCAUCACGGCGGUGAGAUACAAGCUUAAUGGAUCAAAACAAACCCCAGGUCCAAACCCCCCCAGCUUAGACACAUCUCAGUUACCCGGCGCAAACCUCGAGGAAUCCCACUGAGAAGGGAUAAUUGAGAGAAAAAUGUGAUCUCGGAGGUUUUUUUCUCCAAUAAACCCAUUUUAUGUUAAUAGGAAGCAGAUUUCUAGGCCGCUUGCAAACAAACGACUUCCACAGCAUAUUUCACAGCUGAGCACAUCUAUGGCACCAGCCUUUAUAAGCAGCUCUAUUAAACCCAGCAUUUGUUUAAUGAAUUACAGCGAUCCAAUGAAUCCAUGUACAUUCAGCCUAUAUUUAAAUGUUUACAGGGACACCAGCAGCCAGCUCUGCACAAACAGGUAUUGGUGUCAGUGAUCAGCUCCCACUACAAUGUACCCAAAAAUGUCACAUUUUUGGGGUUUCUGCUUUCUUGACUAUUGUGGGCAGUUGGUUGCUGUUUAGUUUUAUAAAGCUCUAAGUGCAACUACCCAGGAGUUUCAGGGUUUCUGUUUAACAUAAAACUGUUUGGGUUCAGUGCAAAUUUGGGGGGUUUUCUCCCCAUUGAUGAACCACAUCUGUCAUCUGAUAUAAACUGUUGCACACCUCCCACCUGGCUGGGGCUGGUCCAUGCCACUGAAAGGUGAAUUAAUGCAUUAAAAUCCACACAGUCCAACAGGUUGACAUGCUGCAGCUGUUUCCAGGGUGACCUUAUCUUCAUCUCACCCAUCAAUACAUAAACCUUGACAAAAAGCUGUGGUCCACCCUUCUGUUUUAAUGCAUCCCCCGCUGCAAACUAUGGGUGAAGUGCUCCCUUUCAUGGCAUAAAGAAGCGAUAGCGCUGCAAUAAUUUCACUUUCUUGAAGGGAUACCUCUGAUUUGUGGUGGUCUCCAGGCCAGCUUUGCUGGCUUGUUCCUACAGGUCUCUCUAGGAGAAGGGCUGAGCCCCAAAGGUGCACCCAUGUGGACCGAGCUGCCUGGUUAUGCUUUGCUGCAAAAACUGUUUUCAUUGUAGGUUGGGCUGAAAUAUCCCUAAGGAGCUGGUUGUAGCAUUCAUUAAGUGCAAAGCCCCACUUGAUCUGAAAUGGUCCACAGCAACUGCCCUUGGCCAGCUGCUCCCUGGCAGAAGGAUGCAGGAAGAUGCAGGAGAAAGCAAGAGGAUGCAGGAACAUCCAGGAGGAUGCAGGAGGAUGCAGAGGGAUGCCCUGAGCCCUGGUGCUGGCAUCUCUGGGUGGUUUCAGAGCCGAGCUCAUUGUGUGGGUGCUUGGCGGUGGCUCAGCAAAGCACAGGACCUCUGGCAGCUGUGAGUGGGUGGGUGGAAUGCCAGCAAGCCAUGGGGACCCACAAAUGCAGCUGGAGACUACAAAUUCUCUCCGUAACGCUCCAUGGGAAUGCACUUGCAGGAGCAAGGAGUGACUGCGGACCCAAACAUGCAUGCAUGGUGCUGACGGUGCUGACGUGCUUGGCAGCAGCGAAGUCUGUGUGCUAGUUCUGUAAAAGCCAUUGGAUUUCUCAAAUAGCUUUCCGUAAAAGAAGAGAGAAAUAGGGAGCAAAGAGAAAGAACUUCAGGCAACGUCUGUAUGAAAUGCCAUUUCCCUAUGACAAAUUAGAGGGGCAAAACGUGGUUAGGUUUUUGCAGAACUGAAGGGGUGAUGUGGGAGAUCAGGUCCCACUGAGUUCCUACGAGAGAUCGUCCAUCCUCUGAGGAAGGGGAGAAUGGAAAGUCCAUCUGCUUUGCAGACCCGAUUUACCAGCUGUUCAGACACUACUAUAAGGAUCAUAUACAAACUUAAAUGAAUAAGGAGAUUCUGCAGCAUGUAGGUAGCAGAAUAAUAGGCACGGUGAAGAAAAUCCCGUGAUCAAUCAGCAGACAAAUAUAUACUUAAAUGAGGUGUUAGCGGAACAGAUGCAGGAAAGGUGAUUAUGGGUUGCCUCUGUGUUUCCUUUGGCAACAACGAUGACACGCCGGGGUGGGUCAAUGUACCCCGUCAUUAACAGAGCAUCAGCAUCCCUCUGACAGUCUCUUUGUCCUGGGAAGUCGAGUCCUAUGAAGAUGUGACAUAAGCAAGAGGCACAGGGACAUUCAGACGCUUUUCAGUUGGUUUUGACCUUCUAGAUGCUUUAGCCUGGCAGAUGACAAACAAGACCACUGUCCUAAAUUAAGCAGGAGGUGGGAAUAAACGUUUGUACCCAUUCAAUUGUGGCCAAAAAAUACCAUUGGCAAAACCAGUGGCAGAACAGCCCUUCCCAGCAAACAAAUCUAGAAACAGAGUUGGCAGGUCAGAGCACGUGGGAAGAGUCAGGUAGAGCAUCCUGGAAAGGAAGACGUUAGAGAGAAACGUGAUUUUUGACUGUAAUAUUUGUGAAGAAAGGAAAAUAUGAGAUCCCAAGUGUGGUUCGGGCCUCUCAAAUAAUCCUAAAAUUAAUUCAGAAAUUGAGAGUUCUAUAGUGGGAGUAAAGGAGAGCAGUCUCCGAGGAAGCCAGGCCAGGUAUGUACAAUUGUCUGAACAAAAUAAGGAUGCAAAAUGCUAAAUAAAUACAUUUUUUAAAUCACAGCUGGAUGGACAAGACUGGAAUCACUGAGCUGGCAGGAGGGUUGCCAGAGGGGUUUUAAGAAGGUGAUACGUAUAGAACCUAUGGAUGGCAAUUAAACAGAGCAGGACUACUGCCAAGCUCUAGUGUUUGCUCACUGUCAGUAGGUUUGAUGGGGACAGACACAUCUAACUGCAAAGCUAUCCAAGCGCAUUUAAUUCUUCCAAUACCUACAUACCAUAGCUUGUGUGCGGGUAAUAUGUUCAUCCUAUAACGUUAGUGACUUCGUAACUUCCUUGAGUACAUAUAGAAAAAUAAAACCCCAGGAUGAGGUUUCGUUGGGUGUUGAGCGCAGUUUCUCAUAUUGCCAGCGGCCAUUGGGGGACAACGAGCCUGGAAAAACCUGGGACCUCAAAGCUGGUGGAGAAGACGUGAGUGGAGAGUGGGGAUGCCGGGGACUCGCUCUGUCAUGGUGCGAGACAAAGGGACAAGAAGAGAAACAAAUGCUACCUUUUGUAACAUCCACAUUUAUGAUUCCUAGACUAAAAGUUAGGCCAGACCUGCAGUGAGAGGGGCUGAAGCUCCAGCCCUCGCCCCUCUCACUGUUCAACAGGUCUAGACAAGCACCAGAAAUGACUUGGGGCUGUUGGGCUGAUUUUCUUGCCUUCUGAUGACACCCCAUUAAAACUAACGGUUCAUAAUCUGCGCCGGACCAACUCGGCCUCAAGAUAAAGAUCUGCCUCAUUUGCAGUUACAUAAUUAGCAAUUACCCUAAUUUCACUUAUAUCAAAUUACAUUUUUUUUUUU